Molecule: long non-coding RNA, 683 nt
Organism: Falco peregrinus (peregrine falcon)
Lineage: Eukaryota; Metazoa; Chordata; Aves; Falconiformes; Falconidae
Exons: 2
Source: RefSeq, a predicted model, not a curated record
CCGAAACAAAGAAGUCCAAGAGUUUCAGGGAGUUGCCUCCCCUUCAGGAAGAAGGGAAGAGAAACAACUUGUCAGUUGAAGUGCUGAUCCAUUUCACCUAUGCAAACAGGAAAGGAGUGAAGAAACAAUGAGAAUGUAGAUCUAGAAGUAGCCUGCUACUAAGCUACUCAACUGACCUGAAUAUCACCUACACAUGGACUUCAGAAUUGCCUUUCUGUGGCCAGGAUUAAAUGCAGCCAAGCAAGAGUGCCUGAACAGAUCGAGCUUUAAUGUUCAGAUCUGUAACAGCGAGGUUCCAGUACGCCCUUUUUUUUGUGCCCCACAGACAAAAAAGCACUACCGUUCUACAACCACACACUUCGCCCAUCUGAGAGGUGAACAAAACAGCAUGGCUAUUGGAAGAGCAGCAUAAAGAUAAAAGAACGUAGGUGAUAUCAAUUUAAGCUAUCUACAUUUAGGUUAAAAGAAAACUUCAGGCUAGAAAAAAAUUAUUUCACACGUGCAUAAUAGAACGAGCUUAACUGGAGAAUUCUUUAGGGGAACCGAUGAACUGAAAACCAUUUAAGGAGCGGUCACAAUGCUUGCUAAAGGGAUGCUUUCAAGAAAAAAGUUGUUUUCCCAAGUUUUUCCCCCAAUGAGUUUAAAAUUCAAUGGAAAUAAGUAUUCAAUCAGAGUGAACAUUA